This 1351-nucleotide ribosomal RNA is filed under the name Salmonella enterica subsp. enterica serovar Typhimurium. RNAcentral describes it as "partial 23S ribosomal RNA". It matches the Rfam family "Bacterial large subunit ribosomal RNA", at positions 1598 to 2925 of the family's 2925-position model. The record is from RNAcentral. Lineage: Bacteria; Pseudomonadati; Pseudomonadota; Gammaproteobacteria; Enterobacterales; Enterobacteriaceae.
UGCCCUGCUUCCAGGAAAAGCCUCUAAGCAUCAGGUAACAUCAAAUCGUACCCCAAACCGACACAGGUGGUCAGGUAGAGAAUACCAAGGCGCUUGAGAGAACUCGGGUGAAGGAACUAGGCAAAAUGGUGCCGUAACUUCGGGAGAAGGCACGCUGACACGUAGGUGAAGUGAUUUACUCAUGGAGCUGAAGUCAGUCGAAGAUACCAGCUGGCUGCAACUGUUUAUUAAAAACACAGCACUGUGCAAACACGAAAGUGGACGUAUACUGUGUGACGCCUGCCCGGUGCCGGAAGGUUAAUUGAUGGGGUCAGCGCAAGCGAAGCUCCUGAUCGAAGCCCCGGUAAACGGCGGCCGUAACUAUAACGGUCCUAAGGUAGCGAAAUUCCUUGUCGGGUAAGUUCCGACCUGCACGAAUGGCGUAAUGAUGGCCAGGCUGUCUCCACCCGAGACUCAGUGAAAUUGAACUCGCUGUGAAGAUGCAGUGUACCCGCGGCAAGACGGAAAGACCCCGUGAACCUUUACUAUAGCUUGACACUGAACAUUGAGCCUUGAUGUGUAGGAUAGGUGGGAGGCUUUGAAGUGUGGACGCCAGUCUGCAUGGAGCCGACCUUGAAAUACCACCCUUUAAUGUUUGAUGUUCUAACGUGGACCCGUAAUCCGGGUUGCGGACAGUGUCUGGUGGGUAGUUUGACUGGGGCGGUCUCCUCCUAAAGAGUAACGGAGGAGCACGAAGGUUGGCUAAUCCUGGUCGGACAUCAGGAGGUUAGUGCAAUGGCAUAAGCCAGCUUGACUGCGAGCGUGACGGCGCGAGCAGGUGCGAAAGCAGGUCAUAGUGAUCCGGUGGUUCUGAAUGGAAGGGCCAUCGCUCAACGGAUAAAAGGUACUCCGGGGAUAACAGGCUGAUACCGCCCAAGAGUUCAUAUCGACGGCGGUGUUUGGCACCUCGAUGUCGGCUCAUCACAUCCUGGGGCUGAAGUAGGUCCCAAGGGUAUGGCUGUUCGCCAUUUAAAGUGGUACGCGAGCUGGGUUUAGAACGUCGUGAGACAGUUCGGUCCCUAUCUGCCGUGGGCGCUGGAGAACUGAGGGGGGCUGCUCCUAGUACGAGAGGACCGGAGUGGACGCAUCACUGGUGUUCGGGUUGUCAUGCCAAUGGCACUGCCCGGUAGCUAAAUGCGGAAGAGAUAAGUGCUGAAAGCAUCUAAGCACGAAACUUGCCCCGAGAUGAGUUCUCCCUGAGACUUAGAGUCUCCUGAAGGAACGUUGAAGACGACGACGUUGAUAGGCCGGGUGUGUAAGCGCAGCGAUGCGUUGAGCUAACCGGUACUAAUGAACCGUGAGGCUUAACCUU